RNAcentral lists this ribosomal RNA (433 nucleotides) under uncultured bacterium. Its description in RNAcentral is "partial 16S ribosomal RNA". It matches the Rfam family "Bacterial small subunit ribosomal RNA", at positions 29 to 507 of the family's 1533-position model. The record is from RNAcentral.
AACGAACGCUGGCGGCGUGCUUAACACAUGCAAGUCGAACGGGAAGGCCGGGUCUAGGGGCGCAGGGGGGCGUACGGCGGGGGAACCUGCCCGUAAGUUCGCAAUCACUCACCGAAAGGGGUGCUAAUACCGGUGAAUGUCUUGGGAGCAAAGAUGUAUCGCCUUUGGGUGGGCCCGCGUUGGAUUAGCUGGUUGGGAGGGUAAAAGCCUACCAAGGCGACGAUCCAUAGCUGGACUGAGAGGAUGAUCAGCAACACUGGGACUGAGACACGGCCCAGACUCCGACGGGAGGAAGCAGUGGGGAAUAUUGGAGCAUGGGCGCAAGCCUGAUCCAGCACUGCCGCGUGAGUGAUGAAGGCGUUAGGGUUGUAAAGCUCUUUUGCCCGGGAUGAUAAUGACAGUACCGGGAGAAUAAGCCCCGGCUAACUCCGUG